This 2921-nucleotide ribosomal RNA is filed under the name Klebsiella pneumoniae. Its description in RNAcentral is "bacterial LSU rRNA". It matches the Rfam family "Bacterial large subunit ribosomal RNA". Lineage: Bacteria; Pseudomonadati; Pseudomonadota; Gammaproteobacteria; Enterobacterales; Enterobacteriaceae. The record is from RNAcentral.
UUAAGUUAGAAAGGGCGCACGGUGGAUGCCUUGACACUAGGAGUCGAUGAAGGACGGGACUAACGCCGAUAUGCUUCGGGGAGCUGUAAGUAAGCUUUGAUCCGAAGAUUUCCGAAUGGGGAAACCCACCAUACGUAAUGGUAUGGUAUCCUUAUCUGAAUACAUAGGGUAAGGAAGACAGACCCAGGGAACUGAAACAUCUAAGUACCUGGAGGAAGAGAAAGCAAAUGCGAUUUCCUGAGUAGCGGCGAGCGAAACGGAACAUAGCCCAAACCAAGAGGCUUGCCUCUUGGGGUUGUAGGACAUUCUAUACGGAGUUACAAAGGAACGAGGUAGACGAAGCGACCUGGAAAGGUCCGUCGUAGAGGGUAACAACCCCGUAGUCGAAACUUCGUUCUCUCUUGAAUGUAUCCUGAGUACGGCGGAACACGUGAAAUUCCGUCGGAAUCUGGGAGGACCAUCUCCCAAGGCUAAAUACUCCCUAGUGAUCGAUAGUGAACCAGUACCGUGAGGGAAAGGUGAAAAGCACCCCGGAAGGGGAGUGAAAGAGAUCCUGAAACCGUGUGCCUACAAAUAGUCAGAGCCCGUUAACGGGUGAUGGCGUGCCUUUUGUAGAAUGAACCGGCGAGUUACGAUCCCGUGCGAGGUUAAGCUGAAGAGGCGGAGCCGCAGCGAAAGCGAGUCUGAAUAGGGCGUUUAGUACGUGGUCGUAGACCCGAAACCAGGUGAUCUACCCAUGUCCAGGGUGAAGUUCAGGUAACACUGAAUGGAGGCCCGAACCCACGCACGUUGAAAAGUGCGGGGAUGAGGUGUGGGUAGCGGAGAAAUUCCAAUCGAACCUGGAGAUAGCUGGUUCUCCCCGAAAUAGCUUUAGGGCUAGCCUUAAGUGUAAGAGUCUUGGAGGUAGAGCACUGAUUGAACUAGGGGUCCUCAUCGGAUUACCGAAUUCAGUCAAACUCCGAAUGCCAAUGACUUAUCCUUAGGAGUCAGACUGCGAGUGAUAAGAUCCGUAGUCAAAAGGGAAACAGCCCAGACCGCCAGCUAAGGUCCCAAAGUGUGUAUUAAGUGGAAAAGGAUGUGGAGUUGCUUAGACAACUAGGAUGUUGGCUUAGAAGCAGCCACCAUUUAAAGAGUGCGUAAUAGCUCACUAGUCGAGUGACUCUGCGCCGAAAAUGUACCGGGGCUAAAUACACCACCGAAGCUGCGGAUUGAUACCGAAUGGUAUCAGUGGUAGGGGAGCGUUCUAAGGACAGUGAAGUCAGACCGGAAGGACUGGUGGAGUGCUUAGAAGUGAGAAUGCCGGUAUGAGUAGCGAAAGACGGGUGAGAAUCCCGUCCACCGAAUGCCUAAGGUUUCCUGAGGAAGGCUCGUCCGCUCAGGGUUAGUCGGGACCUAAGCCGAGGCCGAUAGGCGUAGGCGAUGGACAACAGGUUGAUAUUCCUGUACCACCUCUUUAUCGUUUGAGCAAUGGAGGGACGCAGAAGGAUAGAAGAAGCGUGCGAUUGGUUGUGCACGUCCAAGCAGUUAGGCUGAUAAGUAGGCAAAUCCGCUUAUCGUGAAGGCUGAGCUGUGAUGGGGAAGCUCCUUAUGGAGCGAAGUCUUUGAUUCCCCGCUGCCAAGAAAAGCUUCUAGCGAGAUAAAAGGUGCCUGUACCGCAAACCGACACAGGUAGGCGAGGAGAGAAUCCUAAGGUGUGCGAGAGAACUCUGGUUAAGGAACUCGGCAAAAUGACCCCGUAACUUCGGGAGAAGGGGUGCUUUCUUAACGGAAAGCCGCAGUGAAUAGGCCCAAGCGACUGUUUAGCAAAAACACAGCUCUCUGCGAAGCCGUAAGGCGAAGUAUAGGGGGUGACACCUGCCCGGUGCUGGAAGGUUAAGGAGAGGGGUUAGCGUAAGCGAAGCUCUGAACUGAAGCCCCAGUAAACGGCGGCCGUAACUAUAACGGUCCUAAGGUAGCGAAAUUCCUUGUCGGGUAAGUUCCGACCCGCACGAAAGGUGUAACGAUUUGGGCACUGUCUCAACCAGAGACUCGGUGAAAUUAUAGUACCUGUGAAGAUGCAGGUUACCCGCGACAGGACGGAAAGACCCCGUGGAGCUUUACUGUAGCCUGAUAUUGAAUUUUGGUACAGUUUGUACAGGAUAGGCGGGAGCCUUUGAAACCGGAGCGCUAGCUUCGGUGGAGGCGCUGGUGGGAUACCGCCCUGACUGUAUUGAAAUUCUAACCUACGGGUCUUAUCGACCCGGGAGACAGUGUCAGGUGGGCAGUUUGACUGGGGCGGUCGCCUCCUAAAGUGUAACGGAGGCGCCCAAAGGUUCCCUCAGAAUGGUUGGAAAUCAUUCGUAGAGUGCAAAGGCAUAAGGGAGCUUGACUGCGAGACCUACAAGUCGAGCAGGGACGAAAGUCGGGCUUAGUGAUCCGGUGGUUCCGCAUGGAAGGGCCAUCGCUCAACGGAUAAAAGCUACCCCGGGGAUAACAGGCUUAUCUCCCCCAAGAGUCCACAUCGACGGGGAGGUUUGGCACCUCGAUGUCGGCUCAUCGCAUCCUGGGGCUGUAGUCGGUCCCAAGGGUUGGGCUGUUCGCCCAUUAAAGCGGUACGCGAGCUGGGUUCAGAACGUCGUGAGACAGUUCGGUCCCUAUCCGUCGUGGGCGUAGGAAAUUUGAGAGGAGCUGUCCUUAGUACGAGAGGACCGGGAUGGACGCACCGCUGGUGUACCAGUUGUUCUGCCAAGGGCAUAGCUGGGUAGCUAUGUGCGGAAGGGAUAAGUGCUGAAAGCAUCUAAGCAUGAAGCCCCCCUCAAGAUGAGAUUUCCCAUAGCGUAAGCUAGUAAGAUCCCUGAAAGAUGAUCAGGUUGAUAGGUUCGAGGUGGAAGCAUGGUGACAUGUGGAGCUGACGAAUACUAAUAGAUCGAGGACUUAACCAU